RNAcentral lists this transfer RNA (83 nucleotides) under Eubacterium coprostanoligenes. It matches the Rfam family "tRNA". From Rfam's summary of the family: Transfer RNA (tRNA) molecules are approximately 80 nucleotides in length. Their secondary structure includes four short double-helical elements and three loops (D, anti-codon, and T loops). Further hydrogen bonds mediate the characteristic L-shaped molecular structure. tRNAs have two regions of fundamental functional importance: the anti-codon, which is responsible for specific mRNA codon recognition, and the 3' end, to which the tRNAs corresponding amino acid is attached (by aminoacyl-tRNA synthetases). tRNAs cope with the degeneracy of the genetic code in two manners: having more than one tRNA (with a specific anti-codon) for a particular amino acid; and 'wobble' base-pairing, i.e. permitting non-standard base-pairing at the 3rd anti-codon position. The record is from Rfam by way of RNAcentral. Lineage: Bacteria; Bacillati; Bacillota; Clostridia; Eubacteriales; Eubacteriaceae.
GCAGGAGUGGCGGAAUGGCAGACGCGCCAGAUUCAGGUUCUGGUGAAUGCAAAUUCAUGUGGGUUCAAGUCCCAUCUCCUGCA